This 199-nucleotide long non-coding RNA is filed under the name Capsicum annuum. RNAcentral's name for it is "long non-coding RNA (CANN_LNC008993)". The record is from RNAcentral. Lineage: Eukaryota; Viridiplantae; Streptophyta; Magnoliopsida; Solanales; Solanaceae.
CAACUUGUUAGAAUGAUGAAUAUCAUCAAAUUCUAAUUUUCUUUUGUGAUCCACAUUGUCAGGUUAGUCCCAUGUCGAUGCGUUACCAUUCCUAGGCAAUAAUUAUGUAUAAGGUAGAUUAGUUGCUUUUCAAUUUUUUUAAUUAUGUGAAUUUUGUUCAAUGCUUUGAACGUUCUUCUACAUAGAAAACAUGUACGCC